UUGGCUCGGAUUGGUCUCGCGGCCCUGCCAACGACGCUGACGCGGGGCGGGUUCCCGGCCCGGGCGCGCGGCGCGCCGCCUGCCGAGGCUCCUCCCGCGGUGGCGGCCGACCGGGAGACCCUCGGCCGGUGCUCAGCCAGCUACACUUGCGGCUCCGGCGGGCACCGGCAGGCCCGCGGGGCUCUGGGCGCGUCUUGGGUGCACGUCCUCGACGGCGUGAGCCUCGGUGGCCGGGGUCCGGCCGCGGCGCGCCCGUCUCCUAGAUACAUUCCAUGAGGGCAAGGAGAUUGUCUGCUGUGUUCAGGACGGUUUUUCCAGUACCUGGCACCUGGUAAUCCUAGAGGCCCAGGUGACCCUCAGACUGGCAGAAUGAGUGACUGGCUCAAGAUUUUUGACCAAAACGUGCUGGUCCCUCCCCACCCACAGAGAGCACGCCAGCCUUUAAAGGAAUCGACGGCAUUUCAGUGUGUCCUGAAGUGGCUUGAUGGGCCACUAAUUAAGCAGGGAGUGCUGGAGGUGCUUUCGGAGGUGGGCUGCCAUCUGCGUGUGUCUCUCUUUGAUGUCACCUACCGACACUUUUUCGGGAGGACGUGGAAGACUGCGGUGAGGCCGGUGGAGCAGCUGUCCAGGCAGCCGUCCAGGAUCGUCUUCGAUGAGGUGGGCCAUGGUGGCGGGUGGGGCUGCUCUGUGGCCCAGAGCAGAGGUGCAGGGGAUACUGCUAGGGUCACGACCCGUGCAUCUUGGACCCGAGGAACGCCACAGAGCAGCAGAUGGGCUAUUGCCAAGGUUGUGUUAGCACUGGGGCACUUCAUCUCCAGACAAAACCUGCGUGGAAACCGAAUGUCCCGAACAGAUGAGAGCGCGUGGCUCUGUCGAAACGGUAAGGCAGGGGCACUUGGGGGUCUUCUCACCUUCAAGGAACCUUGGGUUCUUGGAACAAAGUUAGGAAAUUAUUGAUCUCAUCUGGCUCCCCUGUUUCCCCUUACCGUCCUUAUUCCCCUUCUUUCAUUUUGGCUUCUUUCUUUGUCUUAAAGAUGAGCAAUUGAAAAAUGAAGGUGACUUGCCCAGGUAGCAGGCGGCAGAGCCUGGACUCGAACCCAUGCCUCUGUUUCCUCACUGCAUGGUUGCAUUGGCAUUGCUUUCUACCAGUUGGUUGUCUCUGGCCUCAUGCAGGUCGGUGUUUUCUGUCUUGGUUCAGCUGCACCAAAUACCAGCCUCUGUUCGGCCCUGGGGCUGGGUGGCGGGGGUGGAGGUGGACUGCAUGGGCAUGGUAGGAUGGGGGGACACGCAAAGGCAGGUGACAGAGUCAUUGCAAGUUGUGGUUAGCUUGGAAGGAGACCAGUGCAUUGCUGUCCCUGGGGGCGAACGGGGAGACCUGCCGCAGGAAGGCAAAGAAGGUCCCUUCACUGUGAACAUUGCAGCCGAACCUGCAGGAGGAAGAGGCUAGUCCCGUGAAGAGCUGUGAGCGGACCAGGGCUCACACGCGCGCAGGCUGCACGGGUGUGGCGCAGGGGCAAGAGCCCAGGGCUGGGCUGGGCUUCCAAACAGUUUGGGUCUGCUUGAUUGACGGGCACAGGUCUGGAGAGGACUGAGGCCCCGUUGACUUGGUCUUUCUCGUGUGUAGAGUGGGGCCGGAGGGAUAGGUAGUGCCGUGAAUAAUGGAGGUGGCGGUGACCACAGCCGUUCUUGGAGGUGUCACUGCAUGAACCAGAGCCCAAGGUGGCCCUUUCCUGCUGGGGACUGUCCCGGCCCAGUCAUGAUGCCGCCGGGGGCCGGCGGAGCAUGUUCUGCUCUCUGCAUUUGGCUGU
Molecule: long non-coding RNA, 1808 nt
Organism: Ailuropoda melanoleuca (giant panda)
Lineage: Eukaryota; Metazoa; Chordata; Mammalia; Carnivora; Ursidae
Exons: 4
Source: RefSeq, a predicted model, not a curated record